UUGGAGGGCAAGUCUGGUGCCAGCAGCCGCGGUAAUUCCAGCUCCAAUAGCGUAUAUUAAAGUUGUUGCAGUUAAAAUGCUCGUAGUUGAAUUUCGGGGUUAGUAGGUUGGUCAUGCCUCUGGUAUGUACUGGUCUCACUGAUUCCUCCUUCCUGAUGAGCCGUAAUGCCAUUAAUUUGGUAUUGCGGGGAAUUUGGACUGUUACUUUGAAAAAAUUAGAGUGUUUAAAGCAAGCUAACGCUUGAAUACAUUAGCAUGGAAUAAUGAAAUAGGACGUUCGAUCCUAUUUUGUUGGUUUCUAGGAUUGACGUAAUGAUUAAUAGGGAUAGUUGGGGGCAUUAGUAUUCAAUUGUCAGAGGUGAAAUUCUUGGAUUUAUUGAAGACUAACUACUGCGAAAGCAUUUGCCAAGGAUGUUUUCAUUAAUCAAGAACGAAAGUUAGGGGAUCGAAGACGAUCAGAUACCGUCGUAGUCUUAACCAUAAACUAUGCCGACUAGGGAUCGGAUGAUGUUAAUUUUUUAAUGACUUAUUCGGCGCCUUACGGGAAAC
RNAcentral lists this ribosomal RNA (549 nucleotides) under uncultured Glomeromycotina. RNAcentral describes it as "SSU rRNA". It matches the Rfam family "Eukaryotic small subunit ribosomal RNA", at positions 548 to 1098 of the family's 1831-position model. The record is from RNAcentral. Lineage: Eukaryota; Fungi; Glomeromycota.